AUGCACGCUGGCGGCGUGCUUAACACAUGCCAGUCGAACGGUGAAGCAGAGCUUGCUCUGUGGAUCAGUGGCGAACGGGUGAGUAACACGUGAGCAACCUGCCCCUGACUCUGGGAUAAGCGCUGGAAACGGCGUCUAAUACUGGAUAUGAGCUGCGACCGCAUGGUCAGCAGUUGGAAAGAUUUUUCGGUCUGGGAUGGGCUCACGGCCUAUCAGCUUGUUGGUGAGGUAAUGGCUCACCAAGGCGUCGACGGGUAGCCGGCCUGAGAGGGUGACCGGCCACACUGGGACUGAGACACGGCCCAGACUCCUACGGGAGGCAGCAGUGGGGAAUAUUGCACAAUGGGCGAAAGCCUGAUGCAGCAACGCCGCGUGAGGGAUGACGGCCUUCGGGUUGUAAACCUCUUUUAGCAGGGAAGAAGCGAAAGUGACGGUACCUGCAGAAAAAGCGCCGGCUAACUACGUG
RNAcentral lists this ribosomal RNA (466 nucleotides) under uncultured bacterium. RNAcentral describes it as "partial 16S ribosomal RNA". It matches the Rfam family "Bacterial small subunit ribosomal RNA", at positions 29 to 507 of the family's 1533-position model. The record is from RNAcentral.